RNAcentral lists this transfer RNA (57 nucleotides) under Ovis aries (sheep). It matches the Rfam family "tRNA", at positions 8 to 63 of the family's 71-position model. From Rfam's summary of the family: Transfer RNA (tRNA) molecules are approximately 80 nucleotides in length. Their secondary structure includes four short double-helical elements and three loops (D, anti-codon, and T loops). Further hydrogen bonds mediate the characteristic L-shaped molecular structure. tRNAs have two regions of fundamental functional importance: the anti-codon, which is responsible for specific mRNA codon recognition, and the 3' end, to which the tRNAs corresponding amino acid is attached (by aminoacyl-tRNA synthetases). tRNAs cope with the degeneracy of the genetic code in two manners: having more than one tRNA (with a specific anti-codon) for a particular amino acid; and 'wobble' base-pairing, i.e. permitting non-standard base-pairing at the 3rd anti-codon position. The record is from Rfam by way of RNAcentral. Lineage: Eukaryota; Metazoa; Chordata; Mammalia; Artiodactyla; Bovidae.
UAGCUCAGUUGGUAGAGAACCUGCCUGCAAAGCAGGAGACCCAGGUUCAAUCGCUGG